AUCACCAGUUGUUCUCUCUAAAUGUGUGCUCUUUGUACCUCACAUACAGUCAAAUUGACGGCAGUGCCGCAUGCGUGUGGAUGUUGACUCAUUUCUGAGGGAUGCUCACGAAUGAAUACUGGCGCAAUUUGUAUUGAACCUUCUUGGAAAAAGAAAUAACUAUUGCAUCUUCCCGAUGGCAAGAAGUCAAGGCUUUGGUGAUGAAAAAUUAAGACAGCGAAGAGGAGUAUAUACCGGAAUCUUGCCGUAUCUAUAGUGGCUUUACCGUGCCAAAAAGCUUCAACAUCUUUGCUUAACUCACAAAUGCCUAGGAUUAAUUAUUUUCUGGAAAACAGCAUUUCAUUCACUUCCUUUCUUUGAAUAUUUCGGGCGUGUUAGGUACGUGAUGCAAUAAUAAAACGAGGUAAAAUUUA
Dermacentor andersoni is the source of this 413-nucleotide long non-coding RNA. RefSeq lists it as uncharacterized. NCBI's taxonomy places the organism in Eukaryota, Metazoa, Arthropoda, Arachnida, Ixodida, Ixodidae. The record is from RefSeq and is a predicted model, not a curated record.